CAUAGGGGUGCUCCGCUAAUCUUCUCACCACGCGGGGCUGAGAUUAUACCCGUAGAACCUGAUGCGGAUAAUGCCGCCGUAGGGAACAGGGU
Molecule: non-coding RNA, 92 nt
Filed under: uncultured Rikenella sp.
Lineage: Bacteria; Pseudomonadati; Bacteroidota; Bacteroidia; Bacteroidales; Rikenellaceae
Description: TPP riboswitch (THI element)
Rfam family: TPP riboswitch aptamer (THI element)
About the family: Vitamin B(1) in its active form thiamin pyrophosphate (TPP) is an essential coenzyme that is synthesised by coupling of pyrimidine and thiazole moieties in bacteria. The previously detected thiamin-regulatory element, thi box was extended, resulting in a new, highly conserved RNA secondary structure, the THI element, which is widely distributed in eubacteria and also occurs in some archaea.
Source: RNAcentral